RNAcentral lists this ribosomal RNA (472 nucleotides) under uncultured bacterium. RNAcentral's name for it is "bacterial SSU rRNA". It matches the Rfam family "Bacterial small subunit ribosomal RNA", at positions 335 to 799 of the family's 1533-position model. The record is from RNAcentral.
ACUCCUACGGGAGGCAGCAGUGGGGAAUAUUGCACAAUGGGCGCAAGCCUGAUGCAGCCAUGCCGCGUGUGUGAAGAAGGCCUUCGGGUUGUAAAGCACUUUCAGCAGUGAGGAAGGCGGAGUCGUUAAUAGCGGCCUCGUUUGACGUUAGCUGCAGAAGAAGCACCGGCUAACUCCGUGCCAGCAGCCGCGGUAAUACGGAGGGUGCGAGCGUUAAUCGGAAUUACUGGGCGUAAAGCGCAUGCAGGUGGUUUGUUAAGUCAGAUGUGAAAGCCCGGGGCUCAACCUCGGAAUAGCAUUUGAAACUGGCAGACUAGAGUACUGUAGAGGGGGGUAGAAUUUCAGGUGUAGCGGUGAAAUGCGUAGAGAUCUGAAGGAUACCGGUGGCGAAGGCGGCCCCCUGGACAGAUACUGACACUCAGAUGCGAAAGCGUGGGAGCAAACAGGAUUAGAUACCCGUGGUAGGAUAGCG